CGGGAAAAGCUCAAAUUUAAAAUCUGGUAGUCUUUGGCUGCCCGAGUUGUAAACUAGAGAAGUGUUAUCCGUAUUGGACCAUGUAAAAGUCUCCUGGAAUGGAGCAUCAUAGAGGGUGAGAAUCCCGUCUAUUG
Molecule: ribosomal RNA, 134 nt
Filed under: Conocybe sp.
Lineage: Eukaryota; Fungi; Basidiomycota; Agaricomycetes; Agaricales; Bolbitiaceae
Description: partial large subunit ribosomal RNA
Rfam family: Eukaryotic large subunit ribosomal RNA
Source: RNAcentral